Molecule: ribosomal RNA, 254 nt
Filed under: uncultured bacterium
Lineage: Bacteria
Description: partial 16S ribosomal RNA
Rfam family: Bacterial small subunit ribosomal RNA
Source: RNAcentral
UACGGAGGGUGCGAGCGUUGUCCGGAAUCACUGGGCGUAAAGGGCGCGUAGGCGGUCAGCACAAGUCAGUUAUGAAAUCUCCGGGCUUAACUCGGAAAGGUCAACUGAUACUGUGCGACUAGAGUGCAGAAGGGGCAACUGGAAUUCUCGGUGUAGCGGUGAAAUGCGUAGAUAUCGAGAGGAACACCUGCGGCGAAGGCGGGUUGCUGGGCUGACACUGACGCUGAUGCGCGAAAGCGUGGGGAGCAAACAGG